This is a long non-coding RNA of Nicotiana tabacum (common tobacco), 1554 nucleotides long. RefSeq lists it as uncharacterized. The record is from RefSeq and is a predicted model, not a curated record. NCBI's taxonomy places the organism in Eukaryota, Viridiplantae, Streptophyta, Magnoliopsida, Solanales, Solanaceae.
UCCCUAAAUGUAGAACCCACUUUCCUCUGCAAAACCUCAAAACACUAUUGAAACUUAUAAACAUGCGCACGAUUGAAAAGGAACUUUUCCAAACUGGCGAUGCCUGACUUGUAUUUCUCGGACUCAUAUGUGGUUCCUAAUUCUAAUCUUCCUACUGCUAUCAACAUACGAUUUUUGCAAAAUAUGGCUAUUCACGGUGAUUUAAUCAAGCAAGUUCAAAAUUCGGAUUGUUCGUUUGUGGGAAAUACAAGAUCGUUACAAUUCCGACACUACUUUCUCGAUUGAAUUGGUUCUACAAGAUGAAAAGAUACAUGCUUCUAUUGGCAAGUUAGUGCUGCAUCUUUUCAGAACACAAAUUAAUUAGCUUGGAUUAUAUCUUAUGGCGAACUUUGUCCUUUGCCAAAAUAAGGAGAGGUUCAACACCACAAAAUAUAACUUGAGGCUAACCUUUUCUCCACGGACAACAAUGGCUGAAAAAACUGAUUCACUUUUCACAAUGAAUGUCUUUGAUCUGCGACCAUAUGAUCAAUUGAUAAAUAAGGUUGAUGUGAACGAGACUGAAUUAUUUGGUAAAAAUAACUUUCAUCGUAAACUUCUAAUUAUUAUAUUUUCUGUUAUUUAAUUAAUAUCUUCUUUUAAUUAAUUUUCAUUCAAGCUUUAUUCCUCUUCACUUGGUAUUAUCGCUAUAUCUAUGAUUGAAUUAAUUGAGGAAGUUAGUGUACCUUCUAUAUUGCUGCAAUAUUACUGCCGUUGAAAGUUGGAUUCUCUAUGGUUGGACUGUUUAACAGAAAAUGUGUUAUGAAGAUUUUAUUGUUGUUCCUUUGUAUCCUUUUUUAUAGGCUAUGAUAGAAAACUCUUUCGAAUGGUGAAAUUUAUAUGAUUGGUGAAUACAUCUCCAUUUACUUUGAUUCUAAUUCAGAGGACGUAAAAAAAUAUAAAAAUUUCACCAAGCCUCGAUGAACCUUUUUCUAUCACUGCUUCUUAGUUAUAAUUUAUCCUCUAUGAAGCAUAUUUGUCAGUUUGAGAUAAACAAUUUGAGGAAUACGUUUCAGGAACUUUAUUCAUCAUUAUGUGUUUCUUAGAUGUACAAUAUAAUUUUUCUGAUAUUCAAUUUGGUGGUUUAUUCACCAUUUUGCACUAAAGUUUCCAAUGCAAAAGAAGGGUCAUAGCAGAUCAGUUGAGCAUGAGAAUCAAUCCCUAUGAGGUGUUCUAAGAUGUAGAAUUAAAGCCACUAGAGAAGACCCUCGAGGCCCCGCAGUUGAGCUAGCUUGCUUACUUGAUAUAAAUUAAAAAAAUUUUGUUCAUGGCUAUUGAUGAAAAUCAAUCUUCAAUGUUCUUAGGAGUUUUUCCUUCUUCUUCUUUAAAUCAAAUAUCUCGAAGAGACCAUGGGAGUUUUUCUUUCAAUUAGGCAAACCACACAAAAAAAUGAGUGGAUUUCUUAUGUUAUUUUUCAGAAGACAUCGUAGCACUUUUAGUUUUAUGCAAAUCAAGAAUAGUUGACGGUUCUCUUUAUACUGAUUAUCACUGGAAUUAGACUUUGUUUAAGUUUGCCAA